Molecule: ribosomal RNA, 412 nt
Filed under: uncultured bacterium
Lineage: Bacteria
Description: bacterial SSU rRNA
Rfam family: Bacterial small subunit ribosomal RNA
Source: RNAcentral
CGCACGGGUGCGUAACGCGUAUACAACCUACCUUUGGUAGGGGAAUAGCCCAGAGAAAUUUGGAUUAAUAACCCCAUAGUAUAUAGGAAUCUCCUGAUUUUUUAUAUUUAAACAUUUAUGGCCAUUAGAUGGGUAUGCGUCCUAUUAGCUAGUUGGUGUGGUAACGGCACACCAAGGCUACGAUAGGUAGGGGUCCUGAGAGGGAGAUCCCCACACUGGUACUGAGACACGGACCAGACUCCUACGGGAGGCAGCAGUGAGGAAUAUUGGACAAUGGGCGAGAGCCUGAUCCAGCCAUGCCGCGUGCAGGAAGACUGCCCUAUGGGUUGUAAACUGCUUUUACAGAGGAAGAACCACCCCCACGUGUGGGGGUUUGACGGUACUCUGCGAAUAAGGAUCGGCUAACUCCGUG